Non-coding RNA from Podarcis lilfordi (Lilford's wall lizard), 76 nucleotides. The record is from the annotation of a GenBank genome assembly. NCBI's taxonomy places the organism in Eukaryota, Metazoa, Chordata, Lepidosauria, Squamata, Lacertidae.
GCUGAGACACUUUGGUGUAGUGGUAAGAGUGUUGGACUAGGACCUGCGAGACCAGGGUUCAAAUCCCUGCUCAGCA